This 801-nucleotide long non-coding RNA is filed under the name Numida meleagris (helmeted guineafowl). Its description in RNAcentral is "lncRNA (ENSNMEG00000008571.1)". The record is from RNAcentral. Lineage: Eukaryota; Metazoa; Chordata; Aves; Galliformes; Numididae.
GCCGGUAGACGAGCGGACAGGCCGAGCCGCACAGCAGCGGGAGCAGCGCAGGCGCCGCAGCCCCACCUGCAUUGGCGGCGGCGGAAAGCCCCGCCCGCCAUGUUGGCCCGCCCCGCGCUGCUCGCCGCUGUGAGCCCGAGGGCGGCCUGGGCUCUUGGAGGUUUGUCUCCUGCGUGGGUUGUUUUGUCCCGGAGUGGUACGUUGUAGAUGAGAGGCUCAUAGAAAUGCCCCCGAGCCAACGUGCUAACAGGGGCUUCAGUGCAGUGUUACACCCACCGAUACAGAGCUGGGGCUAACAUCAUGAAAAACCAGUGCAGAUGCGAACUUCCACAUUUUUUCAAGAUAGAAGCAAACAAUGACAUAAGCAUAUGAUGAAAUGUGUUCUCAAAGAAUGAACAUAUAGAAAGACUUCUGGGAUUCACACAGAGUGAGUUUACACUGCAUAGUGCAAUUUUCAAAUAUUUAUAAAUAUUUUCAUAUAUUUAUAGUUUAUUUUCUUAUAGUCCCAACAAAUUUAACUUACAGCAAUUCUGAUUUUAAAAGACUUUUUUUUUUCUGUUUAAUAUUUGGUUCCUUAGUUCUACUAAGUUUCCUAAUCAGACCAUGAGCUACUGUCUCUUUUUACAGAUUUCUUGUCAUCAAUAUUGAGUUUGCUUCAUGGUUUAUAUCAUUCAUCUUAAUGGAGCAUCAAGUUGGCAUUCUACUGCAGACAUUUAUUUAUUUUUAGUUGAUGUUUAUAUUGGAAGGAUGAUUUACUGGCUGUCUGUUUUUGUAUCACUGACAUAGCAUUUGACAAGCAAC